AGCAUCUUGAGCCCCUGGACUUGGCUAGCCUGCAGAGGGCGCGCUACUCCCUGCUCCGCUUCUACCAGGACCUGCGUGUUCGGGUGUCGGUGCUGCUUCGAAGUGGCGCACAGCGUCCGAAUGGCCAGCUUGCCGUGUUUGCAACUCCGCCAGCGGGAGGCCCGCGCCCAGGAACCAUCAAGGAAUGGGCUCCGGGAGGCUUCCUGCUGUCCGAGAGGAGCUUCGUGGUCGGCGACAACGGAGAGGCCGCCGGCAAUCGGCCCGCUCUGGGCACA
Molecule: long non-coding RNA, 275 nt
Organism: Rhipicephalus microplus (southern cattle tick)
Lineage: Eukaryota; Metazoa; Arthropoda; Arachnida; Ixodida; Ixodidae
Gene: OSCP1
Source: RefSeq, a predicted model, not a curated record